UACGAAGGGUGCAAGCGUUACUCGGAAUUACUGGGCGUAAAGCGUGCGUAGGUGGUGGUUUAAGUCUGCUGUGAAAGCCCUGGGCUCAACCUGGGAAUUGCAGUGGAUACUGGAUCACUAGAGUGUGGUAGAGGGAUGCGGAAUUUCUGGUGUAGCAGUGAAAUGCGUAGAGAUCAGAAGGAACAUCCGUGGCGAAGGCGGCAUCCUGGGCCAACACUGACACUGAGGCACGAAAGCGUGGGGAGCAAACAGGAUUAGAUACCCUGGUAGUCCACGCCCUAAACGAUGCGAACUGGAUGUUGGGUGCAACUUGGCACCCAGUAUCGAAGCUAACGCGUUAAGUUCGCCGCCUGGGGAGUACGGUCGCAAGACUGAA
This 376-nucleotide ribosomal RNA is filed under the name uncultured bacterium. Its description in RNAcentral is "bacterial SSU rRNA". It matches the Rfam family "Bacterial small subunit ribosomal RNA", at positions 524 to 898 of the family's 1533-position model. The record is from RNAcentral.